AUCCCAUGAUCAGGACAAUCUUCAAUGUAAUCUUGAAAUCUUUCCCAUGCUUCAGUGAAUGAUUCAUCAUGUUGUUGUUGAAAGCUUGAAAUUUUACCACGUAGAGCAU
RNAcentral lists this small nucleolar RNA (109 nucleotides) under Sorghum bicolor (sorghum). RNAcentral describes it as "Plant small nucleolar RNA R71". It matches the Rfam family "Plant small nucleolar RNA R71". From Rfam's summary of the family: R71 is a member of the C/D box family of snoRNAs containing the C (UGAUGA) and D (CUGA) box motifs. Multiple nearly identical copies of this snoRNA have been identified in Arabidopsis, and it is thought to function as a 2'-O-ribose methylation guide for 18S ribosomal RNA. The record is from Rfam by way of RNAcentral. Lineage: Eukaryota; Viridiplantae; Streptophyta; Magnoliopsida; Poales; Poaceae.